RNAcentral lists this ribosomal RNA (329 nucleotides) under Neocallimastigales sp. RNAcentral's name for it is "partial large subunit ribosomal RNA". Lineage: Eukaryota; Fungi; Neocallimastigomycota; Neocallimastigomycetes; Neocallimastigales. The record is from RNAcentral.
UGUUGUUUUUCUGAAAAUCAAUUUAAGAACUGUUCAUUUUUAGUUGUUAAGACUUUAUCGGCUUACUGCUAUUUUUUGGAUUUUUCUUGAAUGCACUUUUCAGUUAACAAGUCAACAUCAAUUUCUUUUGUUGUAAAACGAUAAGAGGAAGGUGGCUUUAUCUUCGGAUGAAGUGUUUAUAGCCUCUUACUUCUGCAAUCGGAGAGAUUGAGGUCUGCAGCGUAGAUCCUUCGGGGUUAGAUACUUCUAUGCUAAGCUAUAGUCCUAUAUAGACAACUUGUUGACUAUGUUCGAUCCUGUAACUUACUCGUAGAUACUAUUUUACCUAC